CAGUCACCCCUCUGCAGUUUUUUAUAGGUUCAGCUUCUCAUUCUAUUAGUCUCUUUAGUGUGUUUUCUCCACAGGUUUUUGUAGUUUCCCUUCCCCUUAGAAUAUUAGUUUAUUUUGCUGCUCAUCUUGUCUUUAGGUUUUUUACUCUUUACUCUUAGGUCAUGUUAGUUUCCUCCCUGAUUAGUUAAUUGCUUUCACCUGGUUCUCUCUCCACACACCUGCAGCCCACCUGCCUCCCAUCAUGCCCCAGUGUGUAUAAGCCCUGUCUUGUCUCAGUGUCUUGUCAGUCCAUUGUUGUUGUCAGCGUUGUUUUGGUGCUCUGUGUGAGCUUUGUGUCUCGUCCCCAGGUUUUGUGCUCUAUGUGAGCUUUUGUUCUCCUGAUUCAGGAUUUUUGUUUUUGGAUUCCUGCCCCUUUGGGUUUUUAGUUCAUCAUCCUAAGUAAAGGAUUUAUUUUUAAAAC
This is a non-coding RNA of Nothobranchius furzeri (turquoise killifish), 460 nucleotides long. The record is from RefSeq and is a predicted model, not a curated record. NCBI's taxonomy places the organism in Eukaryota, Metazoa, Chordata, Actinopteri, Cyprinodontiformes, Nothobranchiidae.